Molecule: long non-coding RNA, 1314 nt
Filed under: Zonotrichia albicollis (white-throated sparrow)
Lineage: Eukaryota; Metazoa; Chordata; Aves; Passeriformes; Passerellidae
Description: lncRNA (ENSZALG00000002081.1)
Source: RNAcentral
CCCCUGGAUUCAGUAAAUCCCCCUGGAUUCAGGCCGGGCUCGGCUCCAGGGCUGGCAGCACUCCACAGCUACAGGAGCAACUCCUGGGGAUUCUUUGGGAAUCUGGGAGGGAAUUCUCCAAAAUCCCAGAUUUCCCCAGCUUCCAGUGAGCCCCAAAUCCAUUCCAAGAAUUCCUGAAGUUCCCACCUCCAAAACCCUCAGAUCCUUCCCACUCCAAGCAGGAACAGCCGCUCCAAGAAUUCCUGAAGUUCCCAUCCCCAAAAAUCCUCAGAUCCCUCCCAUUCCAAGUGGGAAUGAACCAUUCCAACAAUUCCUGAAAUUCCCACCCCCAAAAUCCCCAAAUCCCUCCCAUUCCAAGUGGAAUGAGCCAUUCCAAGAAUUCCUGAAGCUCCCACCUGUAAUGACCCCAAAAUCCCCAGAUUCCUCCCAUUUCAAAUGGAAAUGAGUCACUCCAAGAAUUCCUGAAAUUCCCACCCCCAAAAUCCCCAAAUCACUCCCAUUUCAAGUGGGAAUGAACCACUCCAAGAAUUCCUGAAGUUCCCACCCCCAAAAUCCCCACAUCCCUCCCAUUUCAAGUGGGAAUGAACCAUUCCAAGAAUUCCUGAAGUUCCCAUCUGAAAUGACCCCAAAAUCCCUCUCAGAUCCCUCCCAUUCCAAGUGGGAAUGAGCCAUUCCAAAAAUUCCUGAAACUCCCACCCCGAAAAUCCCCAGAUUCCUCCCAUUCCAAGUGGAAUGAGCCAUUCCAAGAAUUCCUGAAGCUCCCACCUGCAAUAGCCCACAAUCCCUGCCAUUCCUAGCACUCAUUCCCAGCCGUUCCCAGCCCGUCCCCCUCACUUGGCCAGGGUGAUGAGCCCCACGUUGUUCUCGGGGUUGCUGCGUGUCUUGGAGUGGCACACGAUGUUGACGGCGUCCUGCUGCGCCUGCAGCCGCGUCGGCAGGAAGUCCCCGUUCCGCAUGUACUCGCUGUUGUCCACGCUGCAAUCCCAAAAAAACCCAGGAAUGCUACAAGGGAAUCCCGGGAAAAUCCCUCUGUUGGGUGGUUGGGUUUUUGCGGGGGGAAAAUUGGGUUUAUUCCAGUCUUAAAUGAGAUUUUUAUGGGAGUGUGGACGUUCAUCACAAAAAUCUGAUUUUUUUGGGAUAGCCAAAGUGCAUUCCCCAAAAUCUCAAUUUUUUUUUUGGGAAUGCCUGAUGUUCAUUCCCCCAAACCUGGGACUUUUGGGGAAUUGCUGACGUUUAUUCCGGCAAAAUCCAGGGUUUUUUUGGGAACAGGUGAAGCUCAAACCACAAAAUCUCUGCCUCGGACCCUUCCUGCCC